GUGCUUGUUUUGGCAGUAUAUAUCCUAAAAUUGGAAUGAUGCAGGGAAGAUUAGCAUGGCCCUGUGCAAGGAUGACAGACAAAUUUGUGAAGUGGUCCGUAUUUUU
Molecule: small nuclear RNA, 106 nt
Organism: Equus asinus (donkey)
Lineage: Eukaryota; Metazoa; Chordata; Mammalia; Perissodactyla; Equidae
Source: Ensembl